This 69-nucleotide transfer RNA is filed under the name Ovis aries (sheep). It matches the Rfam family "tRNA". From Rfam's summary of the family: Transfer RNA (tRNA) molecules are approximately 80 nucleotides in length. Lineage: Eukaryota; Metazoa; Chordata; Mammalia; Artiodactyla; Bovidae. The record is from Rfam by way of RNAcentral.
CCUGGUGGCUCAGUUGGUAAAGAAUCUGCCUGCAAUGCAGGAGACCCUGGUUCAAUUCCUGGGUCAGGA